This 383-nucleotide long non-coding RNA is filed under the name Capsicum annuum. RNAcentral's name for it is "long non-coding RNA (CANN_LNC014163)". The record is from RNAcentral. Lineage: Eukaryota; Viridiplantae; Streptophyta; Magnoliopsida; Solanales; Solanaceae.
ACAAACCAGAACAAGUCCCUUCAGAAUGAAAAGUUUCCCCAAAAACCUCAUUUCCACUUUCCAGAAAACUUUCAUCUUAAAAAAUGCUCCCUUCCAGCAGCCACCGGAACCACAAGCUCUGCCACCUCCUUCUUGGAAUUUGCUUCAUCUGGCUUCAACCGUCUUAGCUAUUGUACAGCUCACACAAUAGCAUUCACUCUUUGAAAGUAAAUAGAGCUCCUCAUAUAUGUCGUUGCUAUUAUAUUCUUUGAGGUUUUAACUGGACUAAUAUGUAUUUUAUGAUCAAGUGCGCUAUGAAGUUAAUGAAAGUCUGUUACUUGUGCUACUUUUGCUAUGAGGAAAAAUAUCAAAAGACACCUGUAAAAGAAGUCAUGAAAAUGGAG